Long non-coding RNA from Gallus gallus (chicken), 485 nucleotides. Lineage: Eukaryota; Metazoa; Chordata; Aves; Galliformes; Phasianidae. The record is from Ensembl.
AUCAUCUAGAGUAGUCCUGAUAGAACGUGACAUCUUGAUCACACAUUGACACGUUACAUUGCAUCCCAUCUUCUAAAAUCAUAAAUGAAAAGAGUGGCUGCAUUCCACAGUCUCUGAAUUCUUUCAAGACAGCUCAGCAAUCUACAAGUGAAAGAGUAUGUCCCUUGAUGAAAGAAAAACCCCCAAACAACGUGGGAAUGGGCAAUAAAAAGGGUAGAACAGAUGCACUUCUGCACCGGCUGCAAGGUCCCCAGGAAAGGAAGAAAGCAGAGAGGAAUCACCUGACAGGGACCUGGAUACCUGCAAGAAGAUGCACAACAGAAGAUCAAAUCACCCCUUCAGUGCCAGCAGCAUCACAGACGUCAUAUGGGUCAUGGUCUGAGGCAUAUAUUGAUACACAUGCUAAAAAGAUGCUUCUAAUUUUUUUUUUUAAGCCUAUAAACCAGCCUCUAAAUUGUAACAGGUUUCUUAAUGAUAUUAUAAGC